GCAAUUUAUUAGCUUUACUUCUUUUUUUCUCUUGACUGCAUUCUUUUCUUUCUCAUAAUUGACAUGUUUUUCCUUUUACUCUUUUCAGGUCAGAAAGAUGGGUGCUAGAGGCUCCCAUCUGACUUCUUCCCAUCAGUGUGACCACCAAGGCAAGGGACAGGCUCUCUUACUGGCUCAACCAGAGAAGUCUUGACACAGACGCUGACCAAGAAAACAAGUAUUAAUCUUUCUCCUAUCUGCAAUUGCCUCCAUGAUGCUCCAGCAUGCUGCUUACCUAGUUGGUUGCAGCUACAGUACAUUUUCCAGUAACUCUUGCAGUUACAUGGGCUGAGUCCUGGCCAACAAAGAAGUGGCCAGAAAUGAUAGAUGUCUCUUCAAACCCUGACCUCUUAA
Molecule: long non-coding RNA, 393 nt
Filed under: Bos indicus x Bos taurus (hybrid cattle)
Lineage: Eukaryota; Metazoa; Chordata; Mammalia; Artiodactyla; Bovidae
Description: lncRNA (ENSBIXG00000026529.1)
Source: RNAcentral